This 509-nucleotide ribosomal RNA is filed under the name uncultured Kiloniella sp. RNAcentral describes it as "bacterial SSU rRNA". It matches the Rfam family "Bacterial small subunit ribosomal RNA", at positions 377 to 904 of the family's 1533-position model. Lineage: Bacteria; Pseudomonadati; Pseudomonadota; Alphaproteobacteria; Rhodospirillales; Kiloniellaceae. The record is from RNAcentral.
GCAAGCCUGAUCCAGCCAUGCCGCGUGAGUGAAGAAGGCCUUAGGGUUGUAAAACUCUUUCAACUGUGAGGAUGAUGACAGUAGCAGUAGAAGAAGCACCGGCUAACUUCGUGCCAGCAGCCGCGGUAAUACGAAGGGUGCGAGCGUUGUUCGGAAUUACUGGGCGUAAAGGGCGUGUAGGCGGAUUGCAAAGAUAGAGGUGAAAGGCCUGGGCUCAACCUGGGAACUGCCUUUAUAACUUGCAGUCUAGAGAUCGAGAGAGGAUAGCGGAAUUCCUAGUGUAGAGGUGAAAUUCGUAGAUAUUAGGAAGAACACCAGUGGCGAAGGCGGCUAUCUGGCUCGAUACUGACGCUGAGGCGCGAAAGCGUGGGGAGCAAACAGGAUUAGAUACCCUGGUAGUCCACGCCGUAAACGAUGUGAACUAGUCGUCAGGAUGCUUGCAUCUUGGUGACGGAGCUAACGUAUUAAGUUCACCGCCUGGGGAGUACGGUCGCAAGAUUAAAACUCAA